Molecule: long non-coding RNA, 1072 nt
Organism: Nicotiana attenuata
Lineage: Eukaryota; Viridiplantae; Streptophyta; Magnoliopsida; Solanales; Solanaceae
Exons: 4
Source: RefSeq, a predicted model, not a curated record
ACCCAAUAUGUUUUUAAACUUUUCUUAAUAUAAUACAUUAAGAAACUUUUUGCUCAAACUUAAACCCAUUAAACUUUUCUUUUUGCUCAAACAUAAACCCAUUUUCCCACAAAUAUCCCAAACCUAGCUAUUUCCUCCAACCCAUGAUGCAAUCCUCUGAAAACCCUCUUAUUUUUCCCCCCAUUCAUCUCUGAAAAAUCCAAACCCAAAUUGAAGGAAGAGAUCAGAAAUUGCUAAAAGUUAUCAAAAGAGCAAAGGCAUCAGAAAUUGAUAAAAGAUUUCAAGGAGCGAAGGCAGCGAGAAAUUAUAGCGAAGGCGGCGAGAAAUUGCUAAAGUUAAAAAGCAUUAAGGCAGCAAUUACAGGUGCGAGAAAUCGUCUUCAACUGCGAGCAAUUUUCAAUCCAGAAGGCACUCUGUUAGAAACCUAUUUCAAGUGUCCCUCCCAGCCAAAAAGAAAAAGAGGUCGUACUCAAAUGCAAAGUGUUCACGGAAGGAAAGAGCGAAUAGUAGUCGUGCUAAAUGAGUGUAAUCAAUUCAUUGUACUGAUACAGUUGUAAAAGAGUUGGGUAGCUUCCUCGGCACAAUCACAAGGAGUGGAACUUUUUGUCCUCUUAAUGUAUUUAAUUGGAGGAAACUAGACACAAAAGAUGAUAUGUGGAAUAUAUCAAGGAACAAUAUGACAUUCCCGACGAGGCGAAACCAUGAGUUUUUGAAUCCAUUCAGACUGCUUGGAGAAAGUAUAAGAACCAGUUCAAGAAAAAGCAUUUUGAAGCCUAUGAAUAUGACAACCUUCGAAUGGAGAACAGGCCGGCAGAUGUUCCAGAAUCUAUCUUUAAGGAUCUUCUUACAUACUGGAAUUCUGAUCCCCUUAAGGUGAAGUAGAUCAAGAAAUGGAAGAUGAAGGCAGUGAAGAUCUGGACCUUACUUAAGAUAAAUUUUGAAUUGCUAUAGAUGAAUGUUCUAGGAAUCUUUUGUUUAUCAAAAAUUUGAAACUUACUCUCUUGAAAUGUAUAUUAAAGUUAUGCACUUGGGGUAACAUUUUGAUUUAUGGAUAUUAUUAGCUUGUUGGACA